RNAcentral lists this long non-coding RNA (4451 nucleotides) under Setaria italica (foxtail millet). RNAcentral describes it as "long non-coding RNA (SITA_LNC005103)". Lineage: Eukaryota; Viridiplantae; Streptophyta; Magnoliopsida; Poales; Poaceae. The record is from RNAcentral.
AUCAGGUGGCAUAUAUAAACAUCAAUGAAGGGCUUGUAGGCAUUAAGUACAGAUCAAUUUAUGAACAGGAGUUGUUUAGGGUGUAUAUACCUAAGCAACCUGGUCUCUAUAUUGGUUCAGGGGAAUCAUCCUCUGUGCAAUGGGCCGUUGCCAAUCUGACCUGCAAGGAGGCAAAGCAGAACUACUCAGGAUAUGCAUGUGUUAGCAUCCAUAGCAUAUGUUUGGGCGUAAACUCAACAGAAGGUUACAUUGGUUAUCGAUGCAAAUGUAUGUCUGGCUUUCAAGGAAAUCCAUACGUACAGAAUGGCUGCCAAGGUUCGAUCUCCCUCUGCCUUGUGUUUUGGAUAUCCUAACCAUUUUGGUUUAACAAUUGAUUGCAUUCUGGAGAGUACAAACACACACAGUGCACAUACGUUUUAUGUCAUUGAGAUCCUAGCCAUUUUAGUUCAACAACUGAUUGCAUUUCGGAGAGUACCCAUAGCUAAAACAGCAGGGAGUGAAUUAGAUUGUCCAAUUCAGUUUCAAUUUCUCAAAACAUAUCGGUAUCAGCCUGUUAGCUUCUGCUUAUUUGCAGCAGCUUGUGCUGCAGCUGCACAGCAAGCUGCUCGGGUGCAAGUGCUGCACGCUUCUGCCCAGCUGCAGAUGCUGGACAUGUUGUUGGCUUGCUGCAGUUGCAGCUGCUGCAGGUUCAAUAUUGGAAGUUUAUGCUUUAAAGUUGUAAUUUUUUGGAUAUCUUCGUUUUCAUUUGUUCUUUUGGAAACUGCACUUUAUUCUGCAUGAAUAAAAGUUCUGACUCCAUGCCUCAAAAUUGACAACCCUCCUUGCAUGUCAGAACUUUGAAUCUUUUAGGCCAUCUGGAGAGCAGAAUCCUGCCCUGUAUUUUCAUUUUUUGGCAGAUUUCAGUGAACAAUGAUGGGGACCAUCGCAAGUUAACCACUGACCAGACUGAAGUCAAUACACUGGUGACCUAAACUUUAAAUAUUUACAACUGAUUUAUGUUUGGAACAACUUUAUAACCGCACGUUUCCAUUUUUUUAACUUUGCCUCAUUGGCCUGCUUUGACCAAGUCAACACAGUCGCCCCUAGUUUUGUGUACUUUGAUGGCAAAAAGUGGCUAAACCAGGGGCAAUGGUGACUGAAUGGAGGGUAACCAUGCACUUAGAGAUCAAAGUGCGGAAUAAUUGCAAAUGACCCUUUAUAUUUUUGGAACUGAAUGGUGUCUCUCCCUGCUGUGUUACUGGCUUAGUUUCUCCUCUAAAAAUUAGGAUUUGUCUGCACUUCAGUGACAUAAAUCUGUGGCUAAACUGAAAUUCACUCUGGACUACCGGUGAGAAAAAAAGAAUACUUUUCAAACCAUAUUCCUAUAUGAAGAUUCUCUUGGCCCCAAAUGUGGGAUCUCUUUUGGUCGAGGUCACCUAAGAUCCUGGAGUGUGGCACAAUUGCAACUUAGUUUAGCUUCUUGGGUGUGUGGAGUGUGUCCUGAAGAGGUCUCUUGGCCUCUCCUUUGUACAUAUUUCUCUCCCUUCUUAAUGAAAUGAUACACAGUUCUCCUGCGUUGUUCGAGGAAAAAAAGUGGGAUCUUCCGUAUCCUUCUUUGUUUCUCCACCAAGAAAUCCAAUAGCCAAGUUUUCUACAUCACAAAAUGGGUUCUGAGAAUCUAACUAUAGCUAUUCUAAGUUCAGGCGGAUUAGAAAAAAUUCCAACUUUUCUCUCCUCUCCAAUUGGCAUGGACAGUUAUAGAUUUUCAAAUUAACAUAGAAAUUUAUAUUCCUCCAAAGCAAACAUGAAGUUUCUAUAUUCGGUAUUAGCUUCGCUUUGUAAAUUUCCCUCACCUAACUAAAAUGUGGUUGCAGAUAUUGAUGAGUGUCUCACACCAGGAAUAUGCAGAGGAGUAUGCCAAAAUACUGUAGGAGGAUACUAUUGCACCAGUUGCCCAGACAAAACACAGUAUGAUACUACGAUAAUGCAUUGCACUCCAAUAAAACGGCAAAAUCUUCUAUUAGGUGAGCUUUAUUAAACAGUAAUUUGACAACUAAGAUGGAGAAGAUAAUUAAAGCAGAAACAGACUAAGGAGCGUAAUUGUUGCAGGUAUUGUCAUUGGGCUUAGUGGUGGCUUCAGCAUUCUACUUCUCAGCUUAAGUGCAUCAGUGCUUGUUCGCAGAUGGAAAAGGGACAUCCAAAAGCAACUACGAAGGAAGUAUUUUGAAAAAAAUCAAGGACUUCUCCUAGAACAACUAAUAUUGUCAGAUGAAAAUGCAACCGACAAGACAAAGAUUUUCACUUUGGAAGAGCUGGAAAAAGCAACAAAUAACUUCGAUCCUACACGAAUACUUGGUCGUGGAGGGCAUGGCAUGGUGUACAAAGGCAUAUUAUUGGACCAACGUGUUGUUGCAAUUAAAAGGUCUAAGGUAAUUGAGGACAAUGAGAUCAGUCAAUUCAUUAAUGAGGUCGCAAUUCUCUCUCAAAUAAAUCAUCGGAAUAUUGUAAAGCUCUUUGGAUGUUGUCUAGAAACAGAGGUUCCACUACUGGUGUAUGACUUUGUUCCCAAUGGCUCAUUAUUUGGAAUUCUACAUUCUGGUUCAAGUAGUAGUUUCUCUUUGUCAUGGGAUGACUGCCUAAGAAUUGCUGCAGAAGCUGCAGGAGCUCUUUACUAUCUCCACUCGGCAGCCUCUGUAUCAGUCUUCCAUCGUGAUGUGAAGUCCUCUAAUAUACUGUUAGAUUCCAACUAUACUGCAAAAGUUUCGGACUUUGGUGCUUCUAGAUUGGUUCCUAUUGAUCAAACUCAUGUUGUUACAAAUGUCCAAGGCACGUUUGGAUACUUAGACCCAGAGUAUUACCAUACUGGGCAGCUAAAUGAUAAGAGUGAUGUAUAUAGUUUUGGUGUGGUACUUGUGGAACUGCUUCUUAGAAGGGAGCCUAUUUUUACAAAUGAGACAGGGUCAAAGCAGAACUUGUCUAAUUACUUUCUUUGGGAGCUAAAGUCAAGGCCAAUUAAAGAGAUAGUGGCUACUCAGGUUUGUGAAGAAGCAACCGAGGAAGAGAUUAACAGUGUUGCCUCUCUUGCGGAGAUGUGCUUGCGACUCAACAGUGGAGAGAGACCUACGAUGAAGCAAGUCGAGAUGAAUCUGCAGUUCUUGCGAACAAAAAGAUCAAACUCCUGCCAUGUUGUUCAAGAUAACUCUGAAUCUGAAGAGAUGCAACCAUUGCUAUGUACAAGAGCUGAAUCUAGAUAUGAGACAUUUGAUAUUAGCUUGGGUGAAAGUUCUAGUUCAAAGUCUCGCUACAGCCAAAGAUUGGGUGAAAGUUCUUGUAGCUUGGAGCAUGAUUUCGGAUCAUUUUUUGGGGUAUCACGCUAAGGAUCUCUUGUCAGCGUCAGAACUCCAUAGAACAUCACAAGAAGAUUUUUGUGAGAGUGAAUGUUUCUUUUCCUACAAGUGCUAUCGAAAUAAUGUGUUGUACCCAGGCAUGUACCUGAACAUCUUAUUGCGGAGAAGAUGAUGGAUUCCUCAUUUCCUCUACAGUUUCUUAUUUUAUACAAUAUCAUACAGCAGUAUGUAGUGCCUCAAAUUGGAAUUACACUGAUCUGUCAUUUGUACUUGGAUUCUUGCAGUUCAUAACUUGCGUAUAUAUAUGUAAACUUUUUGCUGCAUAUUGGAUAUGUGAAGAGUUAUUUUAGGUAUAAUGUAUUUGUGCACAAAAAUUCAAAUAACAGAACAAAUGCACUAUCUGUUCCGUCAUUGAUUUUCAGAUUAGACAUGAAACCAGAUCUCUCGGCAAAUCAACAAGUUCCAGGAAUCUAAACUGAGUACUAGGUUAUUCUAGCGCAUAAAAUGUUGCCCAAGUGGGAUAGUAUACAUGUUUAUGUCACUAAUUCGUUGCCACCAAAGAUACAUAUAUGUAAUCCACAGUUUGUGACCCACUGCUUGGAGGCAAAUAAUCUGAAAGGACCAUACCUAUAUCCGAGCCACAAACAGAAGGAAGCAGCACACCGAUGGGUCAUGGGCUCAUGGCCACACCAUGCCCUACGGAUAACGGAUGCAACCCAUGGACGGCGGCGGCGGUCAGUAAUCGGCAACGUUCACAAAGAGCUGAUCUGCAAAAUUUGUCACAAAAUAGCUAUAAACCAAGAGAUUAAGUAAGAGGGAAGCAAUGACGCAUACUCGAAGACGACCUACCAACCAAAAUGGGGAACAGCUCGGCAGGAAGGCAGCGGCCAGCACUGAGCCGGCGGCGCUCGCGGAGAGGCUGCGUCGGGCCACAUCCGCCGCGGCGACCCCGAUACAGGAACGAACGUCCUCUCCAGCCGGAGAGAGAGUGCAAGCGCGGGAGGGACGGAGGGGCAACGCGAUGGCAGCCGCCGGCGAGGACCGGGUGCGGAUCGGCUCCCGGGCGGUGAAUCCGGUUGCUAGCCAACGGGCAAGCCGAAGAGGAUAACGAAUGGGCCGUGGCUA